UUCUGGUUGAUCCUGCCAGUAGUCAUAUGCUUGUCUCAAAGAUUAAGCCAUGCAUGUCUAAGUAUAAACAACUUUGUACUGUGAAACUGCGAAUGGCUCAUUAAAUCAGUUAUAGUUUAUUUGAUGGUUCUUGCUACAUGGAUAACUGUGGUAAUUCUAGAGCUAAUACAUGCAAUUAAGCCCCGACUUCUGGAAGGGGUGUAUUUAUUAGAUAAAAACCAUCCCCUUUGGGUCUUGGUGAAUCAUAAUAACUUCUCGGAUCGCAUGGCCUUGUGCCGGCGAUGCUUCAUUCAAAUAUCUGCCCUAUCAACUGUCGAUGGUAGGAUAGAGGCCUACCAUGGUUGCAACGGGUAACGGGGAAUUAGGGUUCGAUUCCGGAGAGGGAGCCUGAGAAACGGCCCUCAGGUCUAAGGACACGCAGCAGGCGCGCAAAUUAUCCCCUGGCAACACUUUGCCGAGAUAGUGACAAUAAAUAACAAUGCAGGGCUCUUACGGGUCUUGCAUUGGAAUGAGUACAGUUUAAAUCCCUUAACGAGGAUCAAUUGGAGGGCAAGUCUGGU
Molecule: ribosomal RNA, 560 nt
Filed under: uncultured Rhodosporidium
Lineage: Eukaryota; Fungi; Basidiomycota; Microbotryomycetes; Sporidiobolales
Description: bacterial SSU rRNA
Rfam family: Eukaryotic small subunit ribosomal RNA
Source: RNAcentral